GACGAACGCUGGCGGCGUGCUUAACACAUGCAAGUCGAACGGGCCUUGUCCCCUUUUUUUUGGGGGUGGGGUUAGUGUCGAACGGGUGCGUAAAACGUGAGUAACCUGCCCCUCACUUCUGGAUAUACGCUUGAAAGGGUGGCUAAUACGGGGUGUUCUGGCCUGCUCGCCUGGGUGGGUUUGGAAAGAUUCGUGCGGUUUGGUUGCAUUGGUGGGGGGUGGGCUCGCGGGCUUUCAGCUAGUUGGUGGGGUGAUGGCCUGCCGAGGCUUUGACGGGUAGCCGGCCUGAGAGAGUGUGCGGUCACACUGGGACUGAGACACGGCCCAGACUCCUACGGGAGGCAGCAGUGGGGACUAUUGCACAAUGGGCGCAAGGCUGAUGCAGCGACGCCGCGUGAGGGAUGGAGGCCUUCGGGUGGUGAACCUCUUGCGCCAGUGAAGAAGGUCCUGCUCUGUGUGGUGGGGUCGACGGUAGCUGGGUUAAUGAAGCGCCGGCUAACUACGUG
RNAcentral lists this ribosomal RNA (506 nucleotides) under uncultured bacterium. Its description in RNAcentral is "partial 16S ribosomal RNA". It matches the Rfam family "Bacterial small subunit ribosomal RNA", at positions 28 to 507 of the family's 1533-position model. The record is from RNAcentral.